CCUACGGGAGGCAGCAGUGGGGAAUCUUGCGCAAUGGGCGAAAGCCUGACGCAGCAACGCCGCGUGCGGGAUGAAGGCCUUCGGGUUGUAAACCGCUUUCAGCAGGGACGAAGAUGACGGUACCUGCAGAAGAAGCCCCGGCCAACUACGUGCCAGCAGCCGCGGUAACACGUAGGGGGCGAGCGUUGUCCGGAUUUAUUGGGCGUAAAGAGCUCGUAGGCGGUUCCGUCAGUCGGGUGUGAAAACUCUGGGCUCAACCCAGGGACGCCACCCGAUACUGCGGUGACUAGAGUCCGGUAGGGGAGUGCGGAAUUCCUGGUGUAGCGGUGAAAUGCGCAGAUAUCAGGAGGAACACCAACGGCGAAGGCAGCACUCUGGGCCGGUACUGACGCUGAGGAGCGAAAGCGUGGGGAGCGAACAGGAUUAGAUACCCUGGUAGUCCACGCCGUAAACGUUGGGCACUAGGUGUGGGACCUUUCCAACGGGUUCCGUGCCGCAGCUAACGCAUUAAGUGCCCCGCCUGGGGAGUACGGCCGCAAGGCUAAAACUCAAAGGAAUUGACGG
Molecule: ribosomal RNA, 564 nt
Filed under: uncultured bacterium
Lineage: Bacteria
Description: bacterial SSU rRNA
Rfam family: Bacterial small subunit ribosomal RNA
Source: RNAcentral